This 923-nucleotide long non-coding RNA is filed under the name Ananas comosus (pineapple). Its description in RNAcentral is "long non-coding RNA (ACOM_LNC032134)". The record is from RNAcentral. Lineage: Eukaryota; Viridiplantae; Streptophyta; Magnoliopsida; Poales; Bromeliaceae.
UCUCUCUCUCUCUCUCUCUCUCUCUCUCCUCUGUUUUGUGGUUUUAAUUGCUGAAUUUUGGCGGGAGAGGAUUUAAAGAAGGCGGGUAACAGUUGCCGUUUCGGGAAAGUAGCCGUUACCUCCCGUUACGAUUCGCGGGCGUUUCGGAUGGGGGUUGCGCGGGAGUUUGUAACGGGCGCCGAGUGUAACGGAGGGCUCAUUAAUAUUAAUUUAACGGAUCCAACAGAAAAAAAAGAAUUAAAUAUAGUUUUUUUUUUCUUUAAUGGAGCUUCUUAAUGCGCUCAUUAAGGAUUAAAAUAACUUAUGAGGAGGCUUAUGUACCAGUAUUGAUAAAGCAACUCAUGAAUUAUAUUCUCUAUCAUUAAAUGUAAAUAAAAUGGGCAAUUGCUUAUAUACUUCUUUUCCGGCUUUCUAAUUUAUCAACAAUCUUAGAAGGUUAAUAUUAAAAAUAAAAAUACCUAUUUUACAUUCCAAAUUAUUUCCAAUAUGCUUCUAUUGUUAAAUUUUGUUAGUGAACUAUUAGCAAUAGCAGUUAUAUUUGUAAAAUUAUUAUUUUGCCCUUUCAAAUAUACUCUUUUAUCAUCAUAAAUUUUUCUUAUUUGUUCUUUAGUUAGGAACAAAAAGGAUAUUUUGAUUUUUAGUUUUUUUAAACAUACCCCUCUACCAUUACUAUUUUUUUAUUUUCCCUUAAGCUGAGGAUAAAAGAGGUGUUUUGAUUUUUUUUUUUAACUCUCGUAGACAUUUAACUCACAUUUAGACUAAGUGUAAUUGUAGGGGUAUUUUUGAAUAACGGGAGAGCAUAUGAGGGGUAUAUUGAAAAAAAAAGAAAAGAAAAAAAGAUAUUUUUAAAGUUUUGAAAGGUAUAUAAAUAAUUGUCCUAAAUAAAAUACUCGACUCAAAACAAUAGCUGAGGGAGCAAAACC